RNAcentral lists this ribosomal RNA (236 nucleotides) under uncultured Lactobacillus sp. Its description in RNAcentral is "partial 16S ribosomal RNA". It matches the Rfam family "Bacterial small subunit ribosomal RNA", at positions 127 to 355 of the family's 1533-position model. The record is from RNAcentral. Lineage: Bacteria; Bacillati; Bacillota; Bacilli; Lactobacillales; Lactobacillaceae.
AGCCCAACGAGAUCGGGAUAACACCUGGAAACAAGAUGCUAAUACCGGAUAACAACAGAUGAUGCCUAUCAACUGUUUAAAAGAUGGUUCUGCUAUCACUCUUGGAUGGACCUGCGGUGCAUUAGCUAGUUGGUAGGGUAACGGCCUACCAAGGCGAUGAUGCAUAGCCGAGUUGAGAGACUGAUCGGCCACAUUGGGACUGAGACACGGCCCAAACUCCUACGGGAGGCAGCAGC